AAGGAGGCACUGUUAGGAAGGCAAGACUUGUCAUCAACACAACCCAACAACUUUCGUCACUUUCUGCCUGCCUGGGUCUGUCUCUCUAGUAUCCUCGAGCCUGCAGUACCACGACCAUAGAGUGCUAUCCUGCUAGCACAGCAUCUCUCCGCCUACUGUGCACCAGUAAACUACAUGGUGGCAGCAGCAGCAGCAUUAUCAACACUGGUAGUGGUGGUGUAAGUGGCUGGCCUCCCUGACCCCAGGACCAAGAACCAUGCGAGAGGAACACGAGGAGGAGCGUGAGGUGCUGGAGUCCAUCUAUGAGGGAGAUGACAACUUCUCUAUGAUCAGCCAGUCAACUUUUCAAUACAAAUAUGGCGAGGCAGGAAACAACAAAUCCUUCCUUGUGGAGAUCAGCUGGGGUCCAGAAUACCCUGAUCAGAUACCCACCAUCAACUUGGACCUUUUCUACAAUAAACACUUAUUACCAUCAGUGAAGGAAAAAAUCACCGAAGAGCUGCAGAAACAAGCCGAGAUCAACGUCGGCAUGAGCAUGACUUUCACUUUGUUUGAGUGGCUGAAAGAAGCAAAGGAUGAACUACUGGAAAGUCAGCCCGAAGAAGCCUCCCUGCCAUCCGUCUCUGAAGUUAUCACGGAUUUGGGGAGGAUAGCAGUGGAAGACUCAGCAACGGGGAAAAAAGAGAAGAAGGAACAGUUAACAAAAGCUCAGAAGCGCAGGAUGUGGGACCGCCAGAAUGCUGCUGGGGAGCGAGCACGUGGCUACAACUGGGUGGACAUCAUCAAGCACCUCUCUCAGACUGGCAACCCAAAGAAUGAUGGAUAGCACCACCAUCACCAAUGGAUGGACAGCACCACCACCACCUGUGAAGUCCAUCUCACACCACCAUUCUUGCUGACUCAAUGCUUUAUCUUGGUCCAUCCAUACAAAGUUGAUGGGGUGAGGUGAUUUCUGAGAAAGAAAUAUAAAAGCAUGAGAUGACACUAACAGCCAAUUUGUGGAAGGUGAGUACACACCACUGGCAUUUCUUGAGAUCCUAUGCCACCCAAGACUGUAAACUGUCAUGUUGUACUUGAAAUACACAAGAACUUUUGUUGAUAAUCUCUCAUUGCAUUGGUUUUGUAAGACUAAAGAAACAAUCCACAUGAGCUUAUUUCCCUUGACAAUAUAAUUAAAAUGUUUAAAAUGAACAUUCAAAAGGUACUUUCAAAUUGCUGCAUUAAAAUAUAUAUAUAUAUAUAUCAAAACACAAACCCACAGGAUGUCCCCCCACAGUAUGUUUACAAACCACAGUCAUUCCCAACAGCCUCUCCCUAUGUAUGUCAUUCUCUCAAUCUCUCAUCAAAGCUGUUCCUACUCACUGCAUCUCCAGGAAGACCCCAAGAUUUGCCACUGAUUAUAUAGGGUUCUGGUUUCGAGGCUGGAAUAACUUGUUUGCCUUGGUGCCAAGAUGGAGCCACUGCUUCUGCUGCAUCUUCCUCAUGAACUUCAAGUCACGGUGUUUCCUGAAACACAACAAAGCAACAUUACAUUUACACUCCUUUUCCAUUAUGACUGAAAAUAUUGUGAAAUACCUACAACACUGGAAAUAUCAUUUACCAAGUGUGCAUGUAACUACUUCAGUUGUAGUAUGAUAGUUAUUUACUAUUUGCUAGACAUCAAAACACUGUAAAUAGUGACAAAACUUAAAUGUUAAACAUUAAUUUGGAGAUAUAAUGAGGCUCAUAUUAACUCUCAAAGGUAUGGAGAACAUUAUGGAGUCUAAAAUGACAAACAUGGUAACAAAACAAAAUAUAACAUGCUGAUAACAAAA
Scylla paramamosain (green mud crab) is the source of this 1814-nucleotide RNA transcript. It is a transcript of the gene named RWD domain-containing protein 4-like, with no coding region annotated. The record is from RefSeq and is a predicted model, not a curated record. Lineage: Eukaryota; Metazoa; Arthropoda; Malacostraca; Decapoda; Portunidae. The transcript is spliced from 6 exons.